Molecule: long non-coding RNA, 548 nt
Organism: Archocentrus centrarchus (flier cichlid)
Lineage: Eukaryota; Metazoa; Chordata; Actinopteri; Cichliformes; Cichlidae
Exons: 4
Source: RefSeq, a predicted model, not a curated record
UUUGGGAUAUUCCCCAUAGAUGGAUUCGAUUUCUCCAACUGGAGCAGUUUCCUCCAUACGUGCUGCACUUCAGGUUCUGGCGGUGGGCUGCACGCCUGUGGAAACAGCUCGCCACUCACUUACAGUACCUGUGAGUUGAUAACUGGGCUGUGCUUCUCUGGGUCAUUAUCAGGCCAUGGGGCAGGACCUGGAGAGAGAGUGUCCAGCAAUGGAGACAAAGCCACUCAGGGGACCAGCUGGGAGGAGCUCCAGUUCAGGGGGAGUGGAGACAGUGGAGACAGGGAGUGGAGAACAAGACACAGGUGAAUGGAAUCACAGCAGAUGUGACAAAACAAGCAAAACUAAAGGCAAAGCACAAGGAACAGCAACUUACAAAAUAAAAGAGGAAGUGAGAUAACUAGAAUAACCUAACACAGGAGACUUGCUGGGCAAACUGACCCAGGACCAUGACACAAAUUAAUAAUCCCACUGCUGGCUAAUUAUUGAUAUAUUUCGAAAUAAGGUUCAUAGUAGUUUAAUUUAAUGGAAAUACCACGAUGUGUUGCUAC